GAUGAACGCUGGCGGCGUGCCUAAUACAUGCCAGUCGAGCGAACAGACGAGGAGCUUGCUCCUCUGACGUUAGCGGCGGACGGGUGUGUAACACGUGGAUAACCUACCUAUAAGACUGGGAUAACUUCGGGAAACCGGAGCUAAUACCGGAUAAUAUAUUGAACCGCAUGGUUCAAUAGUGAAAGACGGUUUUGCUGUCACUUAUAGAUGGAUCCGCGCCGCAUUAGCCAGUUGGUAAGGUAACGGCUUACCAAGGCAACGAUGCGUAGCCGACCUGAGAGGGUGAUCGGCCACACUGGAACUGAGACACGGUCCAGACUCCUACGGGAGGCAGCAGUAGGGAAUCUUCCGCAAUGGGCGAAAGCCUGACGGAGCAACGCCGCGUGAGUGAUGAAGGUCUUCGGAUCGUAAAACUCUGUUAUUAGGGAAGAACAAAUGUGUAAGUAACUAUGCACGUCUUGACGGUACCUAAUCAGAAAGCCACGGCUAACUACGUG
Molecule: ribosomal RNA, 497 nt
Filed under: uncultured bacterium
Lineage: Bacteria
Description: partial 16S ribosomal RNA
Rfam family: Bacterial small subunit ribosomal RNA
Source: RNAcentral